GCGGCCGCUUCCCCGCCCGCCGAGAGCGGUAGUGCGGGUCGCUGGCUGCUGCAAACAACAGGAAGGAGGAGCGCACGAGGAGGAGGAGGGGUGUUGGCGCGUGUGUUUCACACUCGCCUCCCUGGCGUUCGCGAGCUGACCCGAGGAGUGGUAAUCUCACGCGGCAAAGCAGGGAGGAAGAAAAAAAGGAGACAAAAGAAAAAAAGACUUUUAUCUGGGCAGAAAGUCACAAUGCCUAGCGGCCAAACGUUUGUGAGCGGUGAAGUUGGUUGACUGCUCAAGUUUGCAGAGCUUCAGCAGUAGGUUACUUUCUCUGGACGGUUUCUGCUAUCUUUGCUCUUUUCGAGCUCUAGCAUCGUUUGCAAAUAUUUCAAUGACUUGGACCAAGUGCAGAGUUUUACUUCAUAGCUCACCCUUUUAGAUUCGGAGUACAGAAAAAGGCAUCGUGGAGUUUUAGGGUUGGUUUUCAUCAAUCCUUUCCAAGGCCUUUACUUUCUACAUGGAGAAACGUGUAGAGGGAGAGGUUGUGAAUUGCCAAAGACAUGCCGUUAGAUUCCAGAUCUCCUGUGUUUGACCAAAGUUCUUGACCAAAGUUCUUAAUAUCUUAUUUGAACCAAAUUAUAUUGUAUUUGGAAUAUUGGGUAGCCACAGGCCCUUGGACUUCAGUGAUAUUCCAAACUAUUGAUGGCAAAUGACAUUAUGGAGAUCUGAGUAAAAGAAAGUCGUUGGGAUUUUUUCCUCAUUAUAUUACAAACUCUUGAGAAUCCAGACUAAAUUUUAAAUGACUUGUUGUCACACUCAACACUUUGAAUAUAGUAGACAAUAAAGAUUAGGCGAAUGAGACCAGGCGCGGUGGCUUACGCCUGUAAUCCCAGCACUUUGGGAGGCCGAGGCAGGCAGAUCAUUUGAGAUCAGGAGUUCGAGACCAACCUGGCCAACAUGGUAAAACCCCGUCUCUACUAAAAAUACAAAAAUUAGCGGGGGGUGGUGGUGCCCGCCUAUAGUCCCAGCUACUCCAGAGCCUGAGGCAGGAGAAUCUCUUAAACCCAGGAGGCAGACGUUGCAGUGUUGCAGUGAGCCGAGAUGCCACCACUGCACUUCAGCCUGGGCAACAAAGCAAGACUCUGUCUCAAAUAAAAAAAAAAAAGAUUAGGUGAAUGAAAAUUCUAUAUGGCAAUAAUUAAUCAAGAAGAUUUCAUGCAAGAAAGAUUUUGCUUAAUUUUAAGUAACAAUAAACUAACAAAAAAGGUCACUGAAGCGACAUCAAAUACAACAGCAUUAACUAGUAAAGCUGAACACACCAUUUAUAACACAUCAUAGGCACAGAACUUUAUAACCUUUAUUAAUAACCUAUUCAUAAUAACCUUUAUUUUAAUCAAAUCUAUAAACAAAACUUAAAAUUGAAAAUCUGAAGUAAAACAUGAAAAAUUCAGUUGAUACAACCAUUUUCCAACAACCUAUCCAAGAAAGGCUAUCUUUAUUUGAUUUGACAUGGGACACAUCAUUGACAAGUUUUGCAAAUUUAUUUUAUUGAUUAUUGUCAAGUAGUAUUUCUUAGAACAUACUGAAUUAGGAAGAUUCUAAUUUGUUUUUAACUUUAUAACAGAACAUUGUGUUAUAUGUGCAGGGACAGGAAUUAAUAACACUAAAUGUAUUAAUAUUUUUAAAACUUACACUUCUAUGGUGUCUUAGUUUGAGAAAGUACCAUAAACUGGGUGACUUAACGGAAAUUAAUUUUCUCACAGUUCUGGAGGCUGCAAGUCGACGAUCAGGAGGCUGCCAUGGCCAGGUUGUGGUGAGGGCCCCCUUCUUGGCUGUCAGAUUGUGGCUUUCUCAUUGUGUCAAAUGGCAGAGAGAGAGAGAAAGACAGACAGAACAGAGACAGCAUAAGCUCUCAGAUUUCUUAUAAGGGCACUAAUUCCAUCUGAGGGCUCAAUCUUCACGAUUUCAUCUAAACCUAAUCACCUCCCAAAGGCCCGAGGGUUAGGGUUUCAACAUACAAAUGUUGGGGAGAUAUAGUUCAUCCCAUGGCAUGUAAUCAUAUUUUAUAGUAGCUAUCUUGGUAAUUUUUAAAAACAAUAUUUUUUAAAUUUCAGCUUUAAAAGGUUUUCUACAAAGCAAUUAUAUUAUUAGUGAUUCUAAAAGGUCAAUUAACAAUUUAUUUUGCACUGUUAUUUGUGUUUUUCACAAUGAAUUUUUUAUCUCUUUAGAUUGCCUGGGGUUCAAUUAGAAAUUAUUCACAAAUUAGCAGCCAUUUUAAUUAGCAUUCAAAAUCUUAUGUCUGUCUGAAGAGCUAAAAAUCGCUUAUACCAGUGGUUCCCAGACCUUAGGGGAAAAAAUCAUCUACAAUGUUUGUUAAAAAUCUAGAUGCUUGGAUCCAAACCCCAGGGAUCAAAUUAGCAUUUGAUAUGAGAAUAUGACCUGUGAGUCCACAUUUUUCACAGUUCAGAUAAUUCUCAUGCACAACAUAGUCAUUCUUUGAGAAACGCCAAAUAGCACAAUGAAAAAUAAUGCAAUAUAUAUUUUUCCUAAAAAUCGACAAAAAACAGAGAUUGAUAAUGCAAAAGUUUUUUAAAUAUUGCUAAAUGUUUUUAAAAAUUCUAUUUUUUAAAAAAACUAAGAAACAUGAUUUUUUAAAAGUUAUGAUACAAAUAAUGUUUAAGAACAUGAUAUUGAUCAGUUUUGUAAUUUAACUUUUAUUUCUGUAUCCUUUUGACUAUAAAGGAGAUAACUCUCAAAAGGCUGUAAAUUCCUACAUCAGUUCUUUGUGCCAUUUCUGACAAAGGCUUAAAAAUUAUUUCCAACAAAAGUCAAAGCUGGCUGAGUGCUCACGCCUGGCUGGGCACUCACGCCUGUCUGUAAUCCUAGCACUUUGGAGGGCUGAGAGAAGAGGAUUGCCUGAACCCAGGAACUCAGGACCAGCCUGGACAACAUGGCAAAACCCCAUUUCUACAAAAACUACAAAAAUUAGCUGGGCGUGGUAGUGCACACUUGUAGUCCCAGCCACUAGAGAGGCUGAGGUGAGAGGAUCACUUGAGCCCAAGAGGUCAAGGAUGUAGUGACCUGUCAUCCUGCCACUGCAAUCCAGCCUGAGUGACAGAGUGAGAAUCUAUCCUAAAAAAAAAAAAAAAAAAAAAAAUCCAAUUGAACUAAACUAUAUUUCAUUGACCUAUAAGGGUAAUAAAUGCAUAACAGUAAUCCUUCAUUAAAUUCAAUUUACGCUGAUUAGUUGGGUAGAUACUAUUUUCAAUUAUAAUAUUGUUUAUAUGCCCCUGGUUAAAUUUUCUUUUUUUAAAUGCAUUUUGGAAGUGCAGCUCCUUAGCUAGUUCAGGACUAAGAAGGAAGGCUUAAAUAUUUCAAAACAGAAUGAUUUCUUAGUCCACAGCUCAUUAAACUUAUAGUAUCUAACAUUUGUGGAAUUUCACAAAUGCCAUUUUUAUAGAGAUUCAGGAUCAAUUUAAAAUAUGCACAGUUUUGUCAUAAUCUGGUAGUUAAAUAUUUAAGAAAAUCCAACAAAAUUUUACUUGUUUAUUGAUGAUGACAGACUGACUUUUUUUUUUUUUUUUGAGAUGGAGUUUUGCUCUUGUUGCCCAGGCUGGAGUGCAAUGGCAUGAUCUCAGCUCACUGCAACCUCUGCUUCCCAGGUUCAAGAGAUUCUCCUGCCUUAGCCUCCCUAGUAGCUGGGAUUACAGGCAUGCACCACCAUGCCCAGCUAAUUUUGUUUUUUUAGUAGAGGCAGGGUUUCGCCAUUUUGGUCAGGCUGGUUUUGAACUCCUGACCUCAGGUGAUCCACCCACCCUGGUCUGCCAAAGUGUUGGGAUUACAGGCAUGAGCCACCAUACCUGGCCAUGCAGACUGAUUUUUUAAGUGCAUUAGCCCAUUCGGUGAUCAUGAAUGGUUGGAACUUUAGACUCUCAGAUGCCCUUUGAGCUAACAAAUCUCCAUCAAAAGACUGCUACAUCAACCCUAAUACCUUCUUCUUGUAAUCUAAGUUAAUGAAAAUAAAAUACAGUUUUCCAUUUUUCCUUUCAAAACCUUGCAACAUACAGGCCAGGCACGGUGGCUCACACCUGUAACCCCAGCACUUUGAGAGGUCAAGGUGGGUGGAUCACCUGAGGUCAGGAGUUCGAGACCAGCCUGGCCAACAUGGUGAAACCCUGUCUCUACUAAACAUACGAAAAAUUAGCGAGCAUAUUGCCAUGCGCUUGUAAUCCUAGCUACUCAGGAGACUGAGGCAGGAGAAUCACUUGAACCUGGGAGGCAGAGGUUGCAGUGAGCCGAGAUCGCACCAUUGCACUCCAGCCUGGACAACAAGAGUGAAACUCCGUCAAAAAAACAAACAAACAAACAAAAAACCUUGCAACAUACAAACAUCUAUCUUCUGCACUUUCUAUGUUAAAAAAAAAGAUAUGUUUCAAAGAUUAUGAAUCUUUUUAUUAUGAUAAACAACAACAUUCUUUGCCCACUCAUGAUAUGCUUGGUACAAAACUAUGAGAGAAAAUGCAUAGACUUUGUCUUCAGAAGUUUGUAUCCUAUAAGUAGAAACAGGAAAUGCAGAUUACUCUCAAGCAUACAUAGAAAUAUAAUUCAUACACUAAAGAGAUUUCAAGUUUUAUUUAGCAACUUGUACUCUACCUUUUUGCAAAACUUUAUGAAGAUUGCAUCACUAAAGAGAGCAAGCACACAGAUUUGGAAAAAAAAAAAUCUGACGAUCAAAGAAGCCCCUCCUCACACUACCAAAGGUUUAAAGACAACGGAAAAAAGUGGUAUAGACAGAUCCUCAAAGCCUCUCACCAUGUCCUAUUCUCAAUGAGACAUAGCCUAAGAAAACGGAAUCUAAAAGCAAGACAGAUACAUUACCAACAAAUACAGUAGUUUGUAGAUGAAAACAAAAAAUGAUUUAACAAAAAUAAAAUAAUCCAUUGAAAGCUGAUACGGGUUUGGAUGUUUUGUCCUGUUCAAAUCUCAUGUUGAAAUGUGAUCCCCAGUGUUGGAGGUGGAGCCUGGUGGGAGGUGUUAGAGUCAGGGAGGCAGGUCCCUCAUGAGUGUCUUGGUGCCCUCCUAGUGGCAAUGAGUGAGUUCUCACUCUGAGUUCAAAAGCUGGUUAUUUAAAUCAGCCUGGAAUUUCCUCCUCUCACUCUUGCUCCAUCAAUCGCUGUGUGACACAAUGGUUCCUCUUGCCUUCCAUCAUGACCAGCAGCCUCCUGAGACCCUCACUAGAAGCAAAUGAUGGAGCUAUGAUUGCACAGCGUGUAGAAUCAUGAGCCAAAUAGCCCUCUUUUCCUUAUAAAUUUUCCAGCCUUAGGUAUUCCUUUACAGCAACAAAAAU
This 5329-nucleotide long non-coding RNA is filed under the name Homo sapiens (human). RNAcentral's name for it is "HSALNT0139725". The record is from RNAcentral. Lineage: Eukaryota; Metazoa; Chordata; Mammalia; Primates; Hominidae.